GUAGGGAAUAUUGGACAAUGGGCGGAAGCCUGAUCCAGCCAUGCCGCGUGGAGGAUGACUGCCCUCUGGGUUGUAAACUCCUUUUGUACAGGAAGAAACCUCCUCAUUUAUGAGUGAGCUGACGGUACUGUAAGAAUAAGCACCGGCUAACUCCGUGCCAGCAGCCGCGGUAAUACGGAGGGUGCAAGCGUUAUCCGGAUUCACUGGGUUUACAGGGUGCGUAGGCGGUUUUAUAAGUCAGUGGUGAAAUCAACGGGCUCAACCGUUUAACUGCCAUUGAUACUGUAGGACUUUAAUAUGAGAGGUGUAGGCGAAAUGUUGCAUGUAGCGGUGAAAUGCUUAGAUAUGCUACGGAACACCGAUUGCGAAGGCAGCUUACUAUUUAAUGAUUGACGCUGAGGCACGAAAGCUUGGGUAGCGAACAGGAUUAGAAACCCAGUAGUCC
RNAcentral lists this ribosomal RNA (445 nucleotides) under uncultured bacterium. Its description in RNAcentral is "partial 16S ribosomal RNA". It matches the Rfam family "Bacterial small subunit ribosomal RNA", at positions 354 to 796 of the family's 1533-position model. The record is from RNAcentral.